This is a non-coding RNA of Podarcis lilfordi (Lilford's wall lizard), 74 nucleotides long. NCBI's taxonomy places the organism in Eukaryota, Metazoa, Chordata, Lepidosauria, Squamata, Lacertidae. The record is from the annotation of a GenBank genome assembly.
GAAGGGAUGUAGCUCACUGGUAGGGCAUCUGCUUUGCAGGCAGAAGGUGCCAGGUUCAAUCUUUGGCAUCUUCA